Halichondria panicea is the source of this 1111-nucleotide long non-coding RNA. RefSeq lists it as uncharacterized. The transcript has 5 exons. The record is from RefSeq and is a predicted model, not a curated record. Lineage: Eukaryota; Metazoa; Porifera; Demospongiae; Suberitida; Halichondriidae.
AAUACCCAUGUUGUCAGAGCACCUGACUAGUAGACUAAUGACGUACACAAACCAUUAACGUACCUAGAGCUAGCUAGCUAGCUGAGCGCGCGUAGACAUAGACUAGACUAGGCUGGAUAUAUUUCAUAGAGAUCCUUAAAACUCCAAUGGCAAUGUCAAUGGGAUCAGUGAUUUGGUCAGUUCUACUUCUAGGAGGAUAUCUGAUUGUAAAUGUGUCUGGUCAGAUGACCAUUACAUCUUCUCUGCAAAACAGAAUGUAUGUUUGUCCAGGAGAGAAGGUUACCUAUGUCUGCAAUGGAACUGGAGAUCAAAUGAGGCUAUCAGCACCACCAUACGUUAACUCAAACACUCCUGUGUUGUAUGUGCGUGAAUUGGACUCUCCGGGAGUAGCACGUCAAAGAGGCCCUAUUGUAAUAACUCUUAUAUCAACUGAUUCACCUUUGAUGGUAGCAAACUUGACAGUGAAUUCUUCAUUGCCAGAGUUUGUUGUUCAAUGCACUGUUCUCCCAACUUCCGGUCAAGCUGUAGCUCGGUACAAACCUUCAGGUCCUCCUUUAGAUGUGAUGGCUCCUAUGGUAGGAUCUUUUAACAAAGAUAACAUGGCUGGUGUGCGAAUAAACUGGACACAUAAUGAUGGAAAUUAUGACUGUAGGCACUUCACGGUCCAGGUGUUUGAGAAUAACACUUUAAUUAAAUCCAUCGAUAUUUCUGCAGAAAGGAAUAGUUACGAAGCAAUACUUACUGAACCAAUCAGUGCUCCCAUAGAUGUCUACGCACGUAUAACAGUGACAUCCAAGUGUAACCAGACAACCGAUGGAGUUUUGACGGACACAAUUCGGAUAAAUAAAAGUAUAAAAACAGCAUACGUGUUCUGGGUACUUCUUUCAGCUGCAACAAUUGUCCUAACAAUAAUCUAGGUGUAUGCCUAUUCGUCAAAAUUUGCAGGAAGUAAUAUUGUCUGUGAGGUCCUAUAUAGCUGUCGAACAUCGUUUAAGAUUGACUAAUUAGAGGCUGAACUUUUGUUUUUAAUUAUUAUUAUUACCCACCACGGGCAUAGUAGUCUGUUGGUCUGUUUGUUUGUUUGUUUGUGAUGAGCUUUUCUAUUCACCUG